GACGAACGCUGGCGGCGUGCUUAACACAUGCAAGUCGAACGGAAAGGCCCUGCUUUUGUGGGGUGCUCGAGUGGCGAACGGGUGAGUAACACGUGAGUAACCUGCCCUUGACUUUGGGAUAACUUCAGGAAACUGGGGCUAAUACCGGAUAGGAGCUCCUGCUGCAUGGUGGGGGUUGGAAAGUUUCGGCGGUUGGGGAUGGACUCGCGGCUUAUCAGCUUGUUGGUGGGGUAGUGGCUUACCAAGGCUUUGACGGGUAGCCGGCCUGAGAGGGUGACCGGCCACAUUGGGACUGAGAUACGGCCCAGACUCCUACGGGAGGCAGCAGUGGGGAAUAUUGCACAAUGGGCGGAAGCCUGAUACAGCAACGCCGCGUGCGGGAUGACGGCCUUCGGGUUGUAAACCGCUUUCGCCUGUGACGAGGCGUGAGUGACGGUAAUGUGUAAAGAAGCACCGGCUAACUACGUG
This 468-nucleotide ribosomal RNA is filed under the name uncultured bacterium. RNAcentral's name for it is "partial 16S ribosomal RNA". It matches the Rfam family "Bacterial small subunit ribosomal RNA", at positions 28 to 507 of the family's 1533-position model. The record is from RNAcentral.